Molecule: ribosomal RNA, 460 nt
Filed under: uncultured bacterium
Lineage: Bacteria
Description: partial 16S ribosomal RNA
Rfam family: Bacterial small subunit ribosomal RNA
Source: RNAcentral
CCUACGGGAGGCAGCAGUGAGGAAUAUUGGUCAAUGGGCGAAAGCCUGAACCAGCCAAGUCGCGUGAAGGAUGACGGCCCUACGGGUUGUAAACUUCUUUUGUCAGGGAGCAAUUGGGUCCACGCGUGGGCUUAGCGAGAGUACCUGAAGAAAAAGCAUCGGCUAACUCCGUGCCAGCGGCCGCGGUAAUACGGAGGAUGCGAGGGUUAUCCGGAUUUAUUGGGUUUAAGGGGUGCGUAGGCGGAAUAUCAAGUCAGCGGUAAAAAUUCGGGGCUCAACCCCGUCGUGCCGUUGAAACUGACGUGCUUGAGUGGGCGGGAAGUAUGCGGAAUGCGUGGUGUAGCGGUGAAAUGCAUAGAUAUGACGCAGAACUCCGAUUGCGAAGGCAGCAUACCGGCGCCGAACUGACGCUGAAGCACGAAAGCGCGGGUAUCGAACAGGAUUAGAUACCCGUGUAGUC